CGUCUCCCCAAGUCGACACCACCUGUGGGGCUGCAGGGCAGAGUGCGCCCUGCCUGGCACAAUAGGCAUGAGUCACGGCAAGGAGGAACUGGCUGUGUUGGAGCGGAAGGUGAUCCGUCAGGCAGUCGAAGCUGGAUACAUGCCCAGGAGCGGGAUUGCUGGAUCAUAAGGCCCGCCAACAGCCUAUAAAACUCAGCAUUCAAAAAAAAAAAAAAAGCCCAACAACAACAAACUGACUUUAAAAUAGGUAGAAGAACCGAAUAGACAUUUUUCCAAAGAAGAAAUGCAAAUUGCCAACAGGUACGUGACAAG
This is a long non-coding RNA of Camelus dromedarius (Arabian camel), 312 nucleotides long. RefSeq lists it as uncharacterized. The record is from RefSeq and is a predicted model, not a curated record. The transcript has 3 exons. Lineage: Eukaryota; Metazoa; Chordata; Mammalia; Artiodactyla; Camelidae.